GUUAAAGGAGAUAGAGAUGGGGAAUGCGGCAUACAAGGCUACAGUUUUACCUGAUUUGCUUGGUAAGUGGUUAAGUCUAAAUGUGAUCAUGUUUGAUUGCUGUGAAGAAAGCUUACUGUUCUCUCUUUGACUCAUCUCUCUAUAUGUGCCUUUUUGGUCUUGCAAAGGUUUUUCUCACACAUUUUCAAUUAUCAAAUUUGAUUCAAAUUUGAUUUUUUUUUUGUCUUCUAGCUGUCUCAUUAAAAGGUCAAGUCUGAUACAAAAACUCACAGUUGCUGGUAUCAUUGGCAACUUCAUUCAGAUUUGAC
This 308-nucleotide long non-coding RNA is filed under the name Brassica napus (rape). RNAcentral's name for it is "long non-coding RNA (BNAP_LNC026097)". Lineage: Eukaryota; Viridiplantae; Streptophyta; Magnoliopsida; Brassicales; Brassicaceae. The record is from RNAcentral.